CGAUGCGCCUGCCAUUGCCCUUCAACAGGUCCUUGCGGCCCUUCUGGCCUGCCCCAGGGCUCUUGCUGGUAGGGAAGGCAAGGUACUCCCGGCGGCCUUCCUCGCUCUCCAAGACCCUGCUCAAGCGGACAGAAAGGCCAGGUACUGGGAAGGAGGAACACUCAUCUGAACCUGGGAGUUCCUGACUGAACUGGGCCACUUCAGUCGUGUCCACCUUGGGCUUGGCCGUGGCUGUGGCUUGGACCCAGCUCCACUUAGAGCCUGUGGCUGAGAACUGCCCGACUCCACUGCAGAAUGGGGUUCUGCUCCAAGCUGUUGGUGGCUACCAGCUCCUGGGCUCCCUGGAGCAGAUGCCAUCCCCAGGGCUCUUCUAUAGGGCCCUUGGCAGCCCUUGGCUGGUCCAGGAAACCACCUCUGGACCUCUGUCUCCUCGAAGGCUUCUCCUCGAAGCCAGCUGAAUGGGGAGGACCACGGCCUCACCGGAUGAGCAGUUGUCAAAGUUAAAAUCUCCGCAGAUGACGUCAAACGCCACCAGCUCCUCAGGGUUGGCUGUGCUGGACGAGGAGGUAGAUUUUCG
This is a long non-coding RNA of Manis javanica (Malayan pangolin), 577 nucleotides long. RefSeq lists it as uncharacterized. The record is from RefSeq and is a predicted model, not a curated record. Lineage: Eukaryota; Metazoa; Chordata; Mammalia; Pholidota; Manidae.